AAUAAAUCAAUUUCAAUUUAAUUGCUUGCUUGGCUUAGUAUACACUAGGACAUAUUCUUUUUACCAUAUACAAGAUCUGGUAUUUUUUUUCUGACUAAAGAGCACAUGAUCAAUGACUUUUCUGUUUUUUUUUUUUUCUGUAGAUCACAAUUGUGAAAUCAUGAUAAGUGGUUUGUGAAGGGUUAUUUUUGUGGGGAGUUUUGGUUUUCUUUUUCCUUUUCCUUCCUCUUCCAAAACACAUAUAUGUGAAGUCUGGACUCUCCUAGAAUAAACAUGUUACAUGUUGAUAUGUGAAAAAACAGUGUUUUGGAAAUCAGGUUCUUUCAAGACCUUUGGUUCAGUAUGCAUUUGUCCUGGUUACAGAGAGGAAGUGGAGUUUAGAGCCAUAUGGGCAUGGCUAGGUUGCUCUUCUACAUCACCUACAUCAUUGCUGGGGAGUGUAACUUUGGGGAGAAGAAAAGGUGAGCACACCCCUGGAAACAGCACCGUGUCUCCCUCUUCAUUGGAGGGAGUUGCUGGGAUCAUCCUCUGCCACAGCUGCUGCCCAUUCCCUUCCUACUCCUCUGAGACGCAGCUCCAGAAUGUGGUUCUGAAAAGCAGCAAAUGUGGCUCUGGGACGUAACUGAAAAGCAGCAACAGCCCCAUGUAAUGGAGCCCAGCGGAGCAGUCCAAAGCAGUGAUGAAAAAGAGUGGAGCCAAGCUCAGUGUAGCAGUCUGAAGCGGCAGCAUGUUGCAGUGUGGAUUAUUUAGCUUUUAGGGGUUUUUCCCAUAAUUAUUUUCCAUUGUCUCAAGCUCAGGGAUGGGGAGAGCCAAGCGCAGGGAGUGCCUGCCAUCUUGUCUUUGUCCCAGGGGGCCACAUGGACACAGCUGAUACCUGUGACUUAUGAGUAGCAUCUGCCUUCUUGUCUUUGUCCCAGUGGCCACAUGGAACUAAGUUGAGGUGAUGAACACCUUUUGUGUGUAAAGCACCUUUUUUUUUUUACAUGCUUUUGUUAUUAAUAUUGCUGCUGUCACUGUGGAUUUCUUAUUCCAUUGCUGUUUGCUUUCAGUAAAUUAUCUCAACCCAUAGUCUCUGCCUUUGUCCCUCUCUUAUCAAAGGGGGUAGGGGGAAGGGGAGUGCCUUAUUUGGAGUAUAGUUUCAAGCUGGUGUUAAACCACCAUGUUCGAUUGGUGCCCAACAUGAGGCAUGAUAGGGUUGAGAUAACAUCUUUCAUCUAUGCAUUUGUGUAUUAGCUACAAAACUUCCUGGUUACAAGGCUACUCGGUCUGUCCACAUGGUUGUGGUAUCUAACCCUGUAUAUGCUCCCAUAUAUGCAUUAUGUGUCCACAGCAGUGCUCUUUUUCAGAACAGGGAGAGAGAUCAGGAUUGUUUUGUUAUACUGUGUGAUAUCAGUUUAUGCUCUCCUGUCCUGGCUUUGGCUACUCCCUCUGAGAAUUCAUUAAUAAUUGUACCCAGCCUGUGGUGGGAAAAAGAGAGAAUGAUUUUCCCAGCCUUUCACCUACUUCUCUUCCUUCAGGCCUGUUACAACAGCUUUUGAGGAUUUUGAAUUCCCUUUGGAUGUUGAGGAAAGCAUGUUCUUGUUGCUAAGUCUGCCAGGUCUCCUCAAUGUAGUCCACACCAUGUUUAGAGUCAGGACAGAGAUUUCUAGGGAAGUUGUCCCGAGACCUGUCCCAGGGGAUGGAUAGUCAUGAGUGGCAUAGAAUGUGGGAGAAAAUGGACCAGCUUUUGAUGGAGUAUUCUGCUCCAGUGGUUUGGAAGUUUACCCCUGAAAAACUACAGGACCCUGAUAAAGUGGCAGAAUAUUUGA
Non-coding RNA from Taeniopygia guttata (zebra finch), 1808 nucleotides. Lineage: Eukaryota; Metazoa; Chordata; Aves; Passeriformes; Estrildidae. The record is from RefSeq and is a predicted model, not a curated record.